Molecule: long non-coding RNA, 3241 nt
Filed under: Marmota monax (woodchuck)
Lineage: Eukaryota; Metazoa; Chordata; Mammalia; Rodentia; Sciuridae
Source: RNAcentral
CUUAGAGCCCCAAGCAGGCCACCUCCCACGAGAAGGCUCAGUCUCUUGUCGGUUUGGCCUUUCACUCACAUCGACCUGAACUUUCUGGACCUGAGGACCUCUCAGGCCCUAGGAGUGCUGUGUGUGUGUGUGCAUGGCCUUGGCCAGCCGUCCCUGGGGAGGUCACACCUACGGGACACCUUGGCAGUGCAGGAGGAUGUUCCUGGGGACUUGACCUGUCUCUCUGCAGCCACACUAUGUCAGUUUUCUGGGACUGUCCUCACUAAGUCCACACACCAGGGAUUUAAACAAGUCAUUUAUUGUCUCACAAUUGUGGAGUUAAGGAGUUGGCAAGGUUGGCUUCUUCUGGAGGGCCUGAGGGACAGACCUCCCCACAGCUCUCCUAGCUCCUGGUGGCUCCCGGCAGCGCUCAGUGCUUCAUGGCUACCUCCUCAGCGCCUGCCUCCCUGGCCAUAGGGUACUCUCCCUGUGUGUCUCUGCUUCUCCAAACACACCUCAGCCAUUGGCUCAAGGCUGUCCCUCAUCCAGUAUGACUUCAUCUUCUUUUUAAAAAACUUUUUAUCUUAAAAUACUGUAAUGAUAUUCUGCAGGAUGUUGCAGAGACAGAACAUAGGAGAGAGGUCUGGAUGACCCCCACAGUUUGCCCUGACUGUUACUUCUUGCAGAGCACAACUCGAAACCAAGAGUCGCACACUGACGCAGGGUGUGUAGGUCUUCGUGGUUUUGUCAUGUGUCACUAUCACUGCAGUUGGGAUGCAGAAUCACCCCUGACCACAGAGACUUCCCUUGUGAUGUCCCCUGUAUGGUCACAUUGCUCUCCUGUCCCCAUCACCCAAAUUCCCCCAUGACCAGCAAUCUGCCCUCCCUGUCCAUAUCUGUCAUUUCAAGACUAUUACAUGAAAGGAAUGUUAUGGUCUGUGACCCUUUGAGACUAGACUUCUUCACUCUGUGUGAUCCCCUUCAGAAUCACCAGUGAGGUUGUGUGCUCUGAAUCCCGUUCCUCAUAGGAUUCCAAGGCAUGACCUGUCAAUUACCUGCUGAGGGACAUGUUAGUCCUGUUUGACCAGUCACUUAUUGAGGGACACCUAUUGAGGACAUGUAGGUUAUUUCAAAUUUGAGGCUAUUCAUAAAUAAAACUGCUAUGAACAAUUAUGUACAGGUUUUUGUGUGGACUUAAGUUUUCAUUUCUUGGGGAUAAAUGCCCAAUGUGAUUGCUGGGUCAUGUGGUGCAUGUAUUUUAUUUAGUUUUUCAAGAAAUGGACAUUCUUGAGUAGCUAUAUCAAUUUUCAUUCCCACAAGCAAUGAAUAAAAAAUCCAGUUUCACCUCAUCUUCAUCAACAUCUUCAUAUGAUCCCACUUUGAUUUGAUGACGUCUGCAAGACCCACCUUCUAAGUCGGGUCACAUCCAUGGGUUCCAAGAACUGGGAGCUGAGAGUGUUCUUCUGAGGGACACAAUUUGAAACUCCAGGACAUCUUCCUGCUUGAGUUGGGGUGGGGCUGGCUUCAGAGCUUUGCCUUCUUAGAAGAGCUUGCUUUGGAGUUGUAGCCAGAUUAGAAGUCCCUUGGUUAUUCAGUUUGGUCCCCAGAGAUGGGUGAACAAGUUUGUGUCAUCUGAAGGGAAUUUGUUGAGUCUUUCCGAACUAAACUCAGAUCUCCAAAGUUUCAAAGAUGUGAUAAUUAUGAAUACUGUCCAGAGACAGAAAGGCAAGGUAUGUCCCUAUCAAGGGUGAGUGUGUGUGUGCGCGCACGCACGUGUACGAGUUUACGGCUCCAGUUCUAAGAAGGGAAAGGAAAGCAUUAUGGAAGCUGGGUUAUGUGUUAAUAGAGUGGGCAGAGUCUGAGCUGCUCUGCACUCCUGCAGCUGGUAGAGGUGCUUCAGGUCUGUGUCGUGCGGGGGCGUGAUUGGCAAUGGUAGCCCAAGGCCACACUGAGGAGGGUGGGGAGAGGACAUUGAUGUUCUUCAUGUCCCUCCCCACUGCCCAAGCAGGCCUUUCCUAAGUGGCUCCCUACAUCUGGAUAAGUAACUUCCAUCCUUUAUCCCCUUGCUGAAGUCCAGUUCCAUUCAUUUUUUUCUUGUCUGUGCUCCUGGUCCCGUGGGUGUAGAAGACCCCAGUGAGAUGGCAUGUUGUCUGACCCCCGUCUGCACAGCACCAUGAACUCUGACAGGCAGAGCAAUACAGGGCUUGAGAGAGCAGAGUUGUGGCUUAGAGAUUUGACCCCCAGGACCUGCUCACAGCUGAGCGGCCCUCCCCUCCCCUCCCCUCUCCCAGCCUCAUCUGUGUAGACUGGGAGUGACUGAUUUUGAAGCCAAGACAUACAGAAAGUGCAUGGUUCCUAAUCCUACAGCUCAGGACCUUCUCAUAAACUCAUAAAGGGGCACACGCCACAGGGGGGAAUGGAACCUACCAACCCCCCAGAGUCCCCACCAGGCACCACACCUGCCUCACCCCAGCCAAGAGUACCCCAGUCCGACUUCUAGUUUUAUCUUACCUGGUCUUGAACUUUAUUUGGAUGGAGCACAGACUGCCUCCCUGGGGUUUGGGUUCUUGGGCUUAUCCUCAUGUUUCAGCCCUCGGUUAUGGCCAUUCUCCUCACCCAGCAGCUCAGUGGUCAACGUACCACGAUUUCAUGACCCAUUUUACUGCUGGUGGACGUUUGUGUUAUUUCCAGUUCUGGGCUUUUAUGAAUGAAGCUGCUGUAAGCAUUUUUGCACAGAUUUUUUUUUUUUUUUUUGUGGAUAGGGACGUGGUCCUUUAAAGAGUGGGAUUGCUGAGUUACAGAAAACUCCACUUUCCAGAACCUGCCCAUCAUUCCCACAAACCCAGCGUGCACUCUCCAGUGUCGUGAGGGUUCAAGUCAGUUGUGGAAAGUGCUCUAGACUGUUCUUAACAGUCAGAAGUUGUCCCUAAAACACAUCUACAAAUGUAAAAAAGGCACAAUCUUUGGUUAAACCCAGGUGCGGGUAUCCCAGUGUGUAAUGGACUUGACAUUACCCUAUUGAUUGUUCAUUCAGGCUGGUCAUGUGGCUUUAUUACUCCAUAUCAUCUUGCGAUGAUUGACCCUCCUUAGGGCUGUAUUCUUUUUUUCCAGUGGUGGGGAUGGAACACAGGACGCUGCGUGUGCUCACCACUGAGCCCACCCUCAGCCUAUACUGCUUUCGUCUUUUGAAACAUUUGCUCUGCUAAGUUUUCAGGGAAGCUUGAAUUGGAUCAAGGGAUGUGGACUGCAGGAACCAUCGUCC